UGGGGAAUUUUGCACAAUGGGCGCAAGCCUGAUGCAGCGACGCCGCGUGAGGGAUGAAGGCCUUCGGGUUGUAAACCUUUUUCGCUCAUGGUCAAGCCGCAGUUUUGGGUUGUGGUGAGGGUAGUGGGUAAAGAAGCGCCGGCUAACUACGUGCCAGCAGCCGCGGUAAUACGUAGGGCGCGAGCGUUGUCCGGUAUUAUUGGGCGUAAAGGGUGCGUAGGUGGUCUUUCAAGUCGGUUGUUAAAGGCUACGGCUCAACGGUAGUUGGCCUCCGAAACUGGAAGACUUGAGUGCAGGGGAGGGAAGUGGAAUUCCCGGUGUAGCGGUGAAAUGCGUAGAUAUUGGGAGGAACACCAGUAGCGAAGGCGGCUUUCUGGACUUGAACUGACGCUGAGGCACGAAAGCGUGGGGAGCAAACAGG
Molecule: ribosomal RNA, 421 nt
Filed under: Verrucomicrobiota bacterium
Lineage: Bacteria; Pseudomonadati; Verrucomicrobiota
Description: Verrucomicrobia bacterium partial 16S ribosomal RNA
Rfam family: Bacterial small subunit ribosomal RNA
Source: RNAcentral